UUAGUCAAAAUAAACCCUAAAUCCCUAAAUCCCUAAAUCACUCUUCAAUUCUCACCGCUUCACCUACGACUCCACGAGGCUGCGACACUGCCAACCUGCCGUUUGCUACUUGCUGCGGUGCUGCCGGACUGCCUCUGCCUGCUCUAGACGGUAGCGACAUGUUGUCCUGCUCUACCUAUGAAGUACGAACGACGAUCUACGGCGAAGAAGUUUCGUCUUCAGUCCGGUCGAUCUACGGCGAGUCGGUCGAAUCCUACUCCUUCAAAUCAUAGUGUAAGACUAGCUGUGGCCGCACUUUUCCUUCUUUUUAGCGUUUUCUCCACCAUUUUUGUCUCCAGAGCUUCGCCUUCUCCAACGAUUCUUCGUCUCCAACGCUUCGUCGUCUCCCCUGCUGAAAUGAAGAAAAACUCCAUUGAGACAAAGAUUCAUAAGUGUUGGUGUUUUAUUUUAUUUAUACAGUGUAUUCUAUCUUGUUAGCCACAUCAAAAUAUGAAUUCAAACAAAGAUACUGCUGAAACGAAAAGAAAAUAUCGAAGGAAGAGGGAUAGAGUAGUAGAUAAUGAAGGAACAUCACAAGAUUUGUGAAUACAUGUGCAGGCCAAUAUCCUAAAAUCAUUGAGAGCAAAGUAUGCAGCAUGCAUAUUAGUGAUGGAAAUCAAUGAGAAAAAAGAGGAAUUGCUGAAGAAAGCAGGCAAAAUAUAUGUUGCAAAAUGACUUUAUAUGUUCAUCAGAUUUGAAGUGGUUGAUAUAGUUAGGGGAAAUUAAAUUUUUGGUUGACAAGUGCAUUAUGCAGUGACAAAACUCAUGUAAAUUUUAAUAGGUUAUUAUGCUUCAAAUAGACCUAAUUAGGAAAGAUAUUUUUGUGAUGACCCCUAUUUUGAGUAUUAAUUAAUAGCAUUUGAUUUCCUAGUA
Molecule: RNA transcript, 912 nt
Organism: Ipomoea nil (Japanese morning glory)
Lineage: Eukaryota; Viridiplantae; Streptophyta; Magnoliopsida; Solanales; Convolvulaceae
Exons: 3
Source: RefSeq, a predicted model, not a curated record